GAUGAACGCUGGCGGCGUGCCUAAUACAUGCAAGUCGAGCGAACGGACGAGAAGCUUGCUUCUCUGAUGUUAGCGGCGGACGGGUGAGUAACACGUGGAUAACCUACCUAUAAGACUGGGAUAACUUCGGGAAACCGGAGCUAAUACCGGAUGAUAUUUUGAACCGCAUGGUUCAAAAGUGAAAGACGGUCUUGCUGUCACUUAUAGAUGGAUCCGCGCUGCAUUAGCUAGUUGGUAAGGUAACGGCUUACCAAGGCAACGAUGCAUAGCCGACCUGAGAGGGGGAUCGGCCACACUGGAACUGAGACACGGUCCAGACUCCUACGGGAGGCAGCAGUAGGGAAUCUUCCGCAAUGGGCGAAAGCCUGACGGAGCAACGCCGAGUGAGUGAUGAAGGUCUUCGGAUCGUAAAACUCUGUUAUUAGGGAAGAACAUAUGUGUAAGUAACUGUGCACAUCUUGACGGUACCUAAUCAGAAAGCCACGGCUAACUACGUG
Molecule: ribosomal RNA, 497 nt
Filed under: uncultured bacterium
Lineage: Bacteria
Description: partial 16S ribosomal RNA
Rfam family: Bacterial small subunit ribosomal RNA
Source: RNAcentral